This 581-nucleotide ribosomal RNA is filed under the name Biatora vernalis. RNAcentral describes it as "eukaryotic LSU rRNA". It matches the Rfam family "Eukaryotic large subunit ribosomal RNA", at positions 65 to 661 of the family's 3401-position model. Lineage: Eukaryota; Fungi; Ascomycota; Lecanoromycetes; Lecanorales; Ramalinaceae. The record is from RNAcentral.
CCAACAGGGAUUGCCUUAGUAACGGCGAGUGAAGCGGCAACAGCUCAAAUUUGAAAUCUGGCUCUUUCAGGGCCCGAGUUGUAAUUUGCAGAAGAUGUUUCGGGUGCGGCGCCGGUUUAAGUCCCUUGGAACAGGGUAUCAUGGAGGGUGAGAAUCCCGUAUGUAACUGGCGACCAACCCCAUGUGAAACUCCUUCGACGAGUCGAGUUGUUUGGGAAUGCAGCUCAAAAUGGGUGGUAAAUUUCAUCUAAAGCUAAAUACCGGCCAGAGACCGAUAGCGCACAAGUAGAGUGAUCGAAAGAUGAAAAGCACUUUGGAAAGAGAGUUAAAAAGUACGUGAAAUUGUUGAAAGGGAAGCGCUCGCAACCAGACCUGCCCGCGGACGAUCAGCGGUGGUUCUCCGCCGUGCACUCGUUUGUGAUCAGGCCAGCAUUGGUUUCGGCGGUCGGAUAAAGAUCCUUGGAAUGUAGCUCCUUUCGGGGAGUGUUAUAGCCUUGGAUGGAAUACGGCCAGCCGGGACCGAGGACCGCGCUUCGGCUAGGAUGCUGGCGUAAUGGUUGUGAGCGACCCGUCUUGAAACA